UUGAAGCUACAAUGGAACCGUAAUUCCGUGUGCAUCUAAACCCAACCUAGAAACGUUGACAUCCUAACCUAUCUUCAACUUUGUAUGUGUGUAAUAUUUUUAUGCAUUUUGACAUCCAAACAUUCCGAAGAAAAAUACUUCUAUAAAUAUUGGCCAAUACAUUAAAAAGAAUGACUGAUACUGAAAGCAGUAGCGAUUUUGAUUUCACUGCUACUCCCCCGGAAAUUGUAGAAUUAGCGAAGGCGACUACUGGCAAUUUGUUGCCUGAAAAAUCGAAAGAUUUAUACCUUAAACAAUAUGACACUUUUAUGCAAUGGCGAAAAUUAAGAAGAGCUAAUUCGUUCUCCGAAAAUGUGAUUCUCGCCUAUUUUAGUCAGUUAGCUAAGUCUAAUAAAGCUUUAACACUAUGGAAAGUGUAUUCAAUGAUUAGAACAACAAUUAACAUUAAACACAAUACAGAUAUAUAAAAAUAGGCCAGGCUAUGAGCAUUUUUGAAAAAACAAUCUGAUGGUUAUCGAAGAAAAAAAUCAAAGAUAUUAACUGGAGAAGAAGUCAACCAUUUUAUAAAUAAUGCUCCAGAUCAUAUUUAUCUUGCCACAAAGGUUGCUGUGAUAUUAGGAAUUAUGGGAGCUUGUCGAAGACAGGAGCUCUACUUAAUGAAAGUUCAGGAUAUUGAGAACUUGGGGUCCGCUAUAAUAAUAAAUGUUCCUGAUACAAAAACUAAAGUGCCUAGACAAUUUACAAUCACUGGAAAGUUUUAUACCUUAUUUAAAAAAUAUUUAUCUCUACGGUUACCAGAUAUUGCGACAAAUAGUAUCUUUAUUAACUUUCAAAAUGGACGCUGCACCAAGCAAGUGAUUGGAAUAAACAAACUAAGAAAUAUGCCUAAACAAGUGGCACAAUUUUUGAAUUUACCCAACCCUGGAUUAUACACAAGUCAUUGUUUUCGAAGAACAUCUGCAACAAU
Long non-coding RNA from Anthonomus grandis grandis, 967 nucleotides. RefSeq lists it as uncharacterized. NCBI's taxonomy places the organism in Eukaryota, Metazoa, Arthropoda, Insecta, Coleoptera, Curculionidae. The record is from RefSeq and is a predicted model, not a curated record. The transcript is spliced from 3 exons.